This 492-nucleotide ribosomal RNA is filed under the name uncultured bacterium. Its description in RNAcentral is "partial 16S ribosomal RNA". It matches the Rfam family "Bacterial small subunit ribosomal RNA", at positions 30 to 507 of the family's 1533-position model. The record is from RNAcentral.
AUUGAACGCUGGCGGCAUGCUUUACACAUGCAAGUCGAACGGUAACAGACCUUCGGGUGCUGACGAGUGGCGAACGGGUGAGUAAUGCAUCGGAACGUGCCCAGAGGUGGGGGAUAACGCAGCGAAAGCUGUGCUAAUACCGCAUGUGAUCUGAGGAUGAAAGCGGGGGACCAGGCAGCAAUGUUUGGCCUCGCGCCUUUGGAGCGGCCGAUGUCAGAUUAGGUAGUUGGUGGGGUAAAGGCCUACCAAGCCGACGAUCUGUAGCUGGUCUGAGAGGACGACCAGCCACACUGGGACUGAGACACGGCCCAGACUCCUACGGGAGGCAGCAGUGGGGAAUUUUGGACAAUGGGCGCAAGCCUGAUCCAGCAAUGCCGCGUGCGGGAAGAAGGCCUUCGGGUUGUAAACCGCUUUUGUACGGAACGAAAAGGCUCUGGCUAAUACCUGGGGCUGAUGACGGUACCGUAAGAAUAAGCACCGGCUAACUACGUG